UNGCUACUUUCACAGCAGUUGGGAUGGUGUU
RNAcentral lists this non-coding RNA (31 nucleotides) under Mus musculus (house mouse). Lineage: Eukaryota; Metazoa; Chordata; Mammalia; Rodentia; Muridae. The record is from RNAcentral.